AGGAGUCGUGUGAGAUGAAAUUCUCAUGCACGAUUUUGAAUGAGAGAAAAAAGUGAGGAAUCCUCUUUUCGACUCUGAC
Non-coding RNA from Capsicum annuum, 79 nucleotides. Lineage: Eukaryota; Viridiplantae; Streptophyta; Magnoliopsida; Solanales; Solanaceae. The record is from Rfam.